AACGAACGCUGGCGGCAUGCCUAACACAUGCAAGUCGAACGAGACCUUCGGGUCUAGUGGCGCACGGGUGCGUAACGCGUGGGAAUCUGCCCUUAGGUACGGAAUAACUCAGGGAAACUUGAGCUAAUACCGUAUAAUGACUUCGGUCCAAAGAUUUAUCGCCUAAGGAUGAGCCCGCGUCGGAUUAGCUAGUUGGUGAGGUAAAAGCUCACCAAGGCGACG
Molecule: ribosomal RNA, 222 nt
Filed under: uncultured bacterium
Lineage: Bacteria
Description: partial 16S ribosomal RNA
Rfam family: Bacterial small subunit ribosomal RNA
Source: RNAcentral